Long non-coding RNA from Canis lupus familiaris (dog), 678 nucleotides. RefSeq lists it as uncharacterized. The record is from RefSeq and is a predicted model, not a curated record. NCBI's taxonomy places the organism in Eukaryota, Metazoa, Chordata, Mammalia, Carnivora, Canidae. The transcript has 3 exons.
CAGCUGCCCGGCACGUGUCCACUCAAGUCCCCAGGGCAGAAACAAGGGGCUGGGCCUCCCUCUGGCUCCCAGUGCCCAGGGUCAGGCGGAAGGCUCCACCGCAGCCACCAGGUGACUAUGGAUAAUUGGAUUCCUCCAGCCUGGGGCCAGACUGAGGCCCACGAGAUUGUGGGAUCGGUGGUAACGAGCAGGUACUCACCCUCCUUCCUCAUGCCCACCCGGAAGCACUUCUUCAGGCGGCAGUAUUGGCACUGGUUCCGGUGAUGCUGGUCGAUCUGGCAGUCACGGUUGGACCUACAGGCACGCAAGGGGUCACCGUGACACCCACAUCCUGCCCCCUGAGCCACCCUAUAAGUCACCUUUGAAGGCCGCACCUGAGAAACAUCCAUGCCCCCUACCCCGGGCUGGGCAGGUACCCUCCCCAAGGGGCACAGGGGCUAAGCCUGCAGGUCUGCAAAGGGGAAGAGGACAAUGGACGGUGGGGAUGAAUGGAGUCUGCGGCAGAGUACAUUAGCACGCCAGGGAGGGUAUAUUGGGACUGGGUUUUGAAGGAUGAACAGAAGUUCAGAACAGCUCCCUACUCAGUGGGUAGUCCGCUUCUCCCUCUCCCCUUUCCUCCCCCUCCUCCCUGCACCUGUGGGGAGGUCACGCUCUGUCAAUUAAAUAAAUAAAAUCUUA